AUGACACCAGGGUUCACCAAGUUUGGUGUGGAGAUAUUCGAUGGCACGGGUAACUUCAGUCUAUUACAGACAAGAGUCAAGAAUAUUCCGGCACAGCAGGGAAUCUUAAAGGGUUUGUAGGAGACGAAGCCGGCUAAGGUUGACAACGAUGCGUGGGAGGAUAUGCAAGUGCUGGCAGCCGCUACCAUAUGGCUUUGUCUUGCGGAUCUGGUCAUGUAUCAUGUCAUGGACGAAGAUUCUCCUAAGGAAAUUUGGGACAAGUUGGCAAGUCGUUAUAUGUCCAAGUCAGCGACCAAUAAGCUGUAUUUGAAGCAAAAGUUCUAUGGGCUGAAGAUGCAGGAGGGGUCGGAUCUUGUGGAGCAUGUGAAUGCCUUUAUCAAUUGGUCCCAGAUCUAG
This 396-nucleotide ribosomal RNA is filed under the name Triticum aestivum (bread wheat). RNAcentral's name for it is "partial small subunit ribosomal RNA". The record is from RNAcentral. Lineage: Eukaryota; Viridiplantae; Streptophyta; Magnoliopsida; Poales; Poaceae.